AGACUUGCAUUGCCCACAAAGACUUUCAGAGACCUAUAGACUUAUAUUUAUUUGGUUCUAUGUUUUCUAGAUAAAUAUAAGUCUAUAGGUCUCUGAAAGUCUUUGUGGGCAAUGCAAGUCU
This 121-nucleotide microRNA precursor is filed under the name Podarcis lilfordi (Lilford's wall lizard). Lineage: Eukaryota; Metazoa; Chordata; Lepidosauria; Squamata; Lacertidae. The record is from RNAcentral.